Molecule: ribosomal RNA, 734 nt
Filed under: uncultured bacterium
Lineage: Bacteria
Description: bacterial SSU rRNA
Rfam family: Bacterial small subunit ribosomal RNA
Source: RNAcentral
GAGUUUGAUCAUGGCUCAGGAUGAACGCUGGCGGUCUGCUUAACACAUGCAAGUCGAACGGAACUCUUCGGAGUUUAGUGGCGGACGGGUGAGUAACGCGUGAGAAUCUGCCCUUAGGUUGGGGACAACAGCUGGAAACGGCUGCUAAUACCCAAUGUGCCGAGAGGUAAAAGCUUAAUGUGCCUGAGGAUGAGUUCGCGUCUGAUUAGCUAGUUGGAGUGGUAACGGCACACCAAGGCGACGAUCAGUAGCUGGUCUGAGAGGACGAUCAGCCACACUGGGACUGAGACACGGCCCAGACUCCUACGGGAGGCAGCAGUGGGGAAUUUUCCGCAAUGGGCGCAAGCCUGACGGAGCAAGACCGCGUGGGGGAAGAAGGUUUGUGGAUUGUAAACCCCUUUUGAUUGGGAAGAACACAAUGACGGUACCAAUCGAAUCAGCAUCGGCUAACUCCGUGCCAGCAGCCGCGGUAAUACGGAGGAUGCAAGCGUUAUCCGGAAUUAUUGGGCGUAAAGCGUCCGUAGGUGGCAUUGCAAGUCAGUUGUUAAAGCGCGGGGCUUAACCCCGUAAAGGCAAUUGAAACUGCGAAGCUAGAGUGCGAUAGGGGCAAGGGGAAUUCCCAGUGUAGCGGUGAAAUGCGUAGAUAUUGGGAAGAACACCAGCGGCGAAAGCGCGUGACUGGGCCCUGAACUGACACUCAUGGACGAAAGCUAGGGGAGCGAAAGGGAUUAGAU